Long non-coding RNA from Microtus ochrogaster (prairie vole), 390 nucleotides. RefSeq lists it as uncharacterized. NCBI's taxonomy places the organism in Eukaryota, Metazoa, Chordata, Mammalia, Rodentia, Cricetidae. The transcript is spliced from 2 exons. The record is from RefSeq and is a predicted model, not a curated record.
GGACAGGAAGGGGGAGGUUAAAGAAAGGUGGAAAUGAAAAGAAACUUAGGGACACUUUCUUUAUCUCUUAUUUCACAGUCAGUGAAAAUAGAAAGGCGACUGCAAGUUGUCGAAGAGUAAGGCUGGAGGACGGCCCAGAAAUGCUACAAGGAGAAGAGCAGCAGUUACCACCAGUGCAGCCGGUCAGCCUCAGCUGAAGCGGCGAGGCACAUGGAUGUGAGCACCAGUUUCUCUGCACAGAAUGGAGCACUCACCUCUUCUGCAUCUUCUCUACCUCAUGCACUGCAGCGGCCUGUGUGCAGAAUAAAGGGAAAACCUUAUUAUUUCUGAGAAAACCAUAAAACUAUUAUCUGUCCAUUCAAAAACUGUAUUUCCAUACAUUUGAGUUAA